Long non-coding RNA from Octopus sinensis (East Asian common octopus), 145 nucleotides. RefSeq lists it as uncharacterized. Lineage: Eukaryota; Metazoa; Mollusca; Cephalopoda; Octopoda; Octopodidae. The record is from RefSeq and is a predicted model, not a curated record. The transcript has 3 exons.
AUUCUUAUAAAUGCACUUUCACACGAUGCAGUGAAAAUGAUUUUGAGUAAUCGUUAACCAAAUUAAUAACCAUAAUUUACCUAAUGGUAUGGAUAAAUUAACUGCAACCUCCCCAUUCUUAUAAACACAAAGCCACAAUAAUAAC